AUUGAACGCUGGCGGCAUGCUUUACACAUGCAAGUCGAACGGUAACAGGCCUUCGGGUGCUGACGAGUGGCGAACGGGUGAGUAAUGCAUCGGAACGUACCCAGAGGUGGGGGAUAACGCAGCGAAAGCUGUGCUAAUACCGCAUGUGAUCUGAGGAUGAAAGCGGGGGACCGGGCAGCAAUGUUUGGCCUCGCGCCUUUGGAGCGGCCGAUGUCGGAUUAGCUAGUUGGUGGGGUAAAGGCCUACCAAGGCGACGAUCCGUAGCUGGUCUGAGAGGACGACCAGCCACACUGGGACUGAGACACGGCCCAGACUCCUACGGGAGGCAGCAGUGGGGAAUUUUGGACAAUGGGCGCAAGCCUGAUCCAGCAAUGCCGCGUGCGGGAAGAAGGCCUUCGGGUUGUAAACCGCUUUUGGCAGGAACGAAACGGUGUCCGCUAAUACCGGGCGCUAAUGACGGUACCUGCAGAAUAAGCACCGGCUAACUACGUG
This 492-nucleotide ribosomal RNA is filed under the name uncultured bacterium. RNAcentral's name for it is "partial 16S ribosomal RNA". It matches the Rfam family "Bacterial small subunit ribosomal RNA", at positions 29 to 507 of the family's 1533-position model. The record is from RNAcentral.